AUUGAACGCUGGCGGCAUGCCUUACACAUGCAAGUCGAACGGUAACAGGUCUUCGGAUGCUGACGAGUGGCGAACGGGUGAGUAAUACAUCGGAACGUGCCUAGUAGUGGGGGAUAACUACUCGAAAGAGAGGCUAAUACCGCAUGAGAUCUACGGAUGAAAGCAGGGGAUCGCAAGACCUUGUGCUACUAGAGCGGCCGAUGGCAGAUUAGGUAGUUGGUGGGAUAAAAGCUUACCAAGCCGAUGAUCUGUAGCUGGUCUGAGAGGACGAUCAGCCACACUGGGACUGAGAAACGGCCCAGACUCCUACGGGAGGCAGCAGUGGGGAAUUUUGGACAAUGGGCGCAAGCCUGAUCCAGCAAUGCCGCGUGCAGGAUGAAGGCCUUCGGGUUGUAAACUGCUUUUGUACGGAACGAAAAGCCCCGGGUUAAUACCCUGGGGUCAUGACGGUACCGUAAGAAUAAGCACCGGCUAACUACGUGCCAGCCGCCGCCGUAA
Molecule: ribosomal RNA, 498 nt
Filed under: uncultured bacterium
Lineage: Bacteria
Description: partial 16S ribosomal RNA
Rfam family: Bacterial small subunit ribosomal RNA
Source: RNAcentral